CCGAAGCUUCGGGACGGGAGGAAAUCCUUUUAUGGCGGUCCCGAGGCUUCGGGAGCCAUAAAAGAUUGAAAUGGAUUGCUUCGCUAGUU
Molecule: unclassified non-coding RNA, 89 nt
Filed under: Flavobacterium sp. ov086
Lineage: Bacteria; Pseudomonadati; Bacteroidota; Flavobacteriia; Flavobacteriales; Flavobacteriaceae
Description: Flavo-1 RNA
Source: RNAcentral